RNAcentral lists this ribosomal RNA (414 nucleotides) under uncultured bacterium. RNAcentral's name for it is "partial 16S ribosomal RNA". It matches the Rfam family "Bacterial small subunit ribosomal RNA", at positions 355 to 760 of the family's 1533-position model. The record is from RNAcentral.
UGGGGAAUAUUGCACAAUGGGCGCAAGCCUGAUGCAGCCAUGCCGCGUGUGUGAAGAAGGCCUUCGGGUUGUAAAGCACUUUCGNGCGAGGAAGGAGGUGGUGACUUAAUACGUUCAUCAAUUGACGUUACUCGCAGAAGAAGCACCGGCUAACUCCGUGCCAGCAGCCGCGGUAAUACGGAGGGUGCAAGCGUUAAUCGGAAUUACUGGGCGUAAAGCGCACGCAGGCGGUUUGUUAAGUCAGAUGUGAAAUCCCCGGGCUCAACCUGGGAACUGCAUUUGAAACUGGCAAGCUAGAGUCUCGUAGAGGGGGGUAGAAUUCCAGGUGUAGCGAUGAAAGUGCGUAGAGAUCUGGAGGAAUACCGGUGGCGAAGGCGGCCCCCUGGACGAAGACUGACGCUCAGGUGCGAAAGC